GCCGAGGGGGAGCCGCGGGGGUUUCCCUGCCGCGGGGGAGACGCCGCCGCACCCAGGCGGGACAGCGGGGUCCGGGACAGCCGGGAGCGGGAGCCGCGCAGGGAAGCUCGUGCCGUGCCGUGCGCGGCUGCGAUGCAUGGAAACAGGCCGAAAGGAGCGGGACGGCUGCCGGGAGGGAGCUCCGCACGGAGCAGCUCGGCGGGGACAGUGACAAACCCCGCCGAGCGUCGAAGUUUGUCGGCGGAGCGGUGGGAGGUGAGCGACUCCGGUGCUUGGCUGCGGAGGCACAGCUGCAAAGAGCGCCUUCUCACACGGCACCCACUCUUGGCAACCCGCCCCCACCCCAGUCCUCUGAUUCUCGAUCUCAUAAAAGAUAAAAACCAUCUGCAUUAAUGGGCAGCAACAGGUAAAACUGUAAGGGCUGUCCAGAUGUCUCAGGCCCAGUGUUUGAAUUAAAUCAUACAGCAAUAGUAAUGAAACGCAGCAAAGGAAGCCAUAUAUUGCCUCACAUUUAAAAAUAACUUGUUCUGCUUUCUGACAAGUGAAGUAGCAGCAGGCCUCUGAGCUGGGUGUCUGCCACUUUUGUACUCACUGCAGUAGUGACCCCAUCUUCUGCUGCUUCGUUCUGCAGUUACAACGCAGAUUCUGUUCAUAUUUAGUAUUUAAUAAGCUCCUCCAGCAACUAAAAUUGUCCUGAGAGGGAAGACAUGUAUGCCCACACGACUCCCAACAUGCAUAAGGCCCCAGCAUGAGCAAUUUACUUAGAGCAAAAUGGGUUUGCCAGUGUGGGCAGUGGUCCUCCCGAGAUUAAGCAGUACAUAGCUCUGGACUUUUGUUAAGCCAUCUUGUGGUAGCAGUAAAAGGUAUUACGUGUCCCACCACGCUUUAUCUCAUGUCAUUAGAUAUCAAAGCUACAACACUGGCUACUGCCACAAGAGUGAAAUGCUAGCUGCUGAGGAAAAAAAAAGGAAAAUGUGUUCUACUUUUAAACAGCUGUUUGGUUUUUUUUCUCCUUACAGUUCCCAUUCGGAAGCAUGCAAAGCCCUGUGGAGGAAGGUUCCAGUAACUUCUUCACUUCCUAGUUAGAAAUACGCAGUUUUACCUGCUGGUUCUUUAGUUCUUUAUUUCUUUUGAAAGUGUGUAUGUGACUGGGGCCCUGCUGAUCUGAGUUUAGGGCAGUGAAACAGAAAUAACUUUAAAUGAAUACAAGUAGAAUAACAGAUAUAUUUUCUAUCCAGCAAUACAGGUGUCAUCUGUGAAGCACUGGGACAAAGUCAGCCUAACUCUACUGCAUUGGAAGUUUCUAUUACAGUUCUCAUGCUAUUUAUUUUGUCUUUUUAGAUGCAUUGUGUAUGAUGAUGAAAAAAAGUACUGACAACUCCUUAAUAAAUGAAAAUUAAUGGCUAAUUAAGGAUUCAACUCACAGUUUUGUCUUUGGAAGUCAUUCUGCAGAUCUUCCCUUGAGGAUCAGCACUGAAAUCUCAGAGAGCAGGUAGGCAUUUUGCCAGAAUCACUCCUUAUCUGGUUUUACCUUACAUUAAAGGGCAACUCUGACAUGUAACACACAGUUGCCAUGACAGUUUUAAGUAAACUGGACAAAACAGAACUUUCUCUCAGCUCUACUCCCUCUUACUGCCUCUGUUCACAAAUGAGGUCUGGGUUAUGAGUUUAAACCAAACCAUUGCAGUUACUACAAAAUCUUGAAAUGUUUGUGCAAACAUAGUCAUAUCCUUCAGAGUUAAAAUAGAUACAUCAAAUAUCAAUUAAGAAUUUCUAUCACCACUGAAGCUUUUUGACUGGUGAGAAAUCACUGAUGAAAUUUUAAUUCUGGCUAUAUUUCUAGUCACACUAUCAGUUGGCACUUGGAUCAUUUCAAUGCCUUUGAUUCUUUUUAUUCCCAGGGAUGGAAAAGAGCAUACAGGAUUUUAAUGACACAUUUUAUCUGUGUAGAUAAAAUGCAGAGUUGCUAGCCAUUCUUCCUUCUCACAACUGGAUAAAUUUAGCAGGCAGCAGACAGCCUGACCUAUGUUGUGUAGGCCAAAUGCAAUUUGCAGACAAGUGUAGGUUUUUAAAUAAUAUCUUGGCUUCCCUUACACUGAAAUCUUAUGACUGACAGAUAAUCAAGAAGAAAACCAUGUGAUUGAGAAGGGAAUUAGCUGUCUGCUGAUAAAUCUUCUGCAAGGCACAUAUGUAAGUAACCACACACAUUUUAUUUACAAGGAGAAAUAAAGAAGGUUUUUUUAAGCUGUGAGGUUUCUCUGCUACCAUAUAUUAUGAACCAAAUAAGCUUUUGAAGACUAGAAGGGAAUCCAAAUCUUCUUAAUCCAAGAAUAAAAGGUUCACCAGUAGUUUUAAAUGAGGAAAGCUUUAAAUAACUUCAUAAAAUAAUCACAACCUUUCACUCACCAUGUAAUUUCUGGAAAAAAAAAUCCUUAGGUAAUUUGUAUUUGAAAGUAAUUUUCAAAGGUAUCUGUUUUGAAAGUCAUAUUCUGUCAUACUUCUGCUUGAUUCAAAGUUAUUUAAAUAGGAGUACCAACUUCAUUUGUUAAACUAACAAGUUGCAGAUGAUGUCAGUAGACAGGAAAGGAGGGAGGAAAUUCCUUGCUUGUAGCACUGGUGUCUUGACAAUUCUUCUGUGGAUUUAAUCUCUGUAUCAUUUAAUACUAUUUAGAAGCCCGGAUUUUAAUAAGAGAGAGGAAUGGCCUAAUCUGAGGAGAAUAAAACCCAAACAACCACAGUCUGCUGAGAAGCAAGAAGCGUUUGUUACCUUCAGCCAGAGAUUUGUGAUGCCCUCAGCAGGUCAAGCACUGAGCACUAAGGGGGUGCUGUCUGGGCUCCUGCUUUGGAGCCUGUUGGAUCUGAGAAACCUGUUAAGAUAAUGUGUUCCAGGCACAUUUCUUCAGCUUCAGACCUGAGAGACAGACCUACAGUAACCAAAAGCAACCUUGUGAUGUGAGAGGCUGUUAGACUGAUCUGACAGGAUCAUCAGAAUUCUUGGUAGUAUAUAUUGUACUCUGAAAAAGAAAUUUAAAAAAGCGAGCUCCUACUCUCAGUUUACAAAACAUGUACAGUUGGAUCAUUUAUUUAUUUAUUUAUUUAAACUUUCAGGUGGUUUUUUUUUCUGCACAAUGUCACUUUUUCAUACAUAAUAAUGAUACAAUCUCAGUCUUAGUUUUGGUAGCCUUCAGUAUCAAAAGUAUAACCGUAACAUUUAAAAAGUUACAUUUACAUAGGUGGCACAUUGAGGUCUAGUAGUAACAACUAUACAAUGUCUAGAAAAAUACUAUGUUAAUUUUAAAAGAGGCAGUAUGAAAUUUUAUUAUAUAGUACAAAGGUUAAAAAUGUCCCUAAAGAUGGCAUUAUUAUAAAUAAUCAAUUGAUCUCGAUUUAUAUUGUGUCAAUUCUAGGAGAAAUGUUCAAAAAUUCCUCACCCCUCUUGCAAGCUUUUAUCAAAAGUGAAUAAUCCUCAAGGUACUUUACACAACAGAAUUCACUUUAAUGAAGUAUUUACUGCAAAGUUCGUGAUCUCCAGGAUAUAAAGCUAAAAUACGUAUUUCCAGCAUAGCAGGAGGUGACCACGAAGGCAAAGAACUGUUGAGAGAGAGGAAAAAUUUAUUAGGAAAUAAAUAUAUUUGAGAGCACUGUAAUUUCUAAGGGAAAAAAAAAUAGUUAUGGGACUUGGGAAAAAGGAAAAUAACAAGCUGACACAAAUGGCACACUCUCACCUCAUGCUUGUGUGGCCAUCACAGCCAACACUGUGUAAAAGUAAGCUUACAUUAUGCCUAGAAAUACAGGCUUGUAGCAGACAAAGCAUGACAUAUUUCAACUUUUUAAAUAAAUUCCUCAUCAUAUGGCCUCAGUAUGAUCUUUCAGAUUGGACUGCCACCAAUCUAAAUACUUGCCACUUUUAGAGGCUGAGGAAUUGUCUGUGGGACAAUGUGAGCUCGAGCUAAGACUCCUGUCCUGCUGCUGUGUUCCAGACAUUGCCUACAGCCACCUGUACCUCAGCAUGGCUCACAGUGCAUCUGUUUGCUUACAGAGAAAGCCUGGAUCCAAAUGCAGGCCCAGACAAGCUCUCAAACAGCACUGCUGGUUGGGUUACCAAUUCCAGAGGUCCUCUACUGAUGGAUACAGAUAUUCCUCAGUGACAGCAACCACUCCGUCAUAUCACUACGCUGUCAGAAAUCGGUAACAUUAUAAGCCUUCUGUAGCAGGCUAGAUUUAUUUCACUUGUACUGAUAAAGUCCAAUUCAGCACUAGUGCUUAAGUUCCUGUUAAUCACUGCACGUUGUUCAAAGCAGACAGUAUUCAACAUGGUCUUAACAAAAAUACCAGAAUGUUUUGUGCUAGUAACUGAAUCGAGUAAACAUGUCACUGCAAAUAAGAUUAACACCACUUUUCUAAGAGUUGAGCAAUGACAGGACAAGAAGGAACAAACACAAGUUAUAGGCAGGAAAUUUCAAUUAGAUAUUAGGAAACAAAAGCCCCAACCCACAGUGUGAGUAAUCAAACACAGGCAUUGUGGAAUGGCCAUAUUUGGAAAUACUCAAAUUCAAGUGGACAAGGCCCUGGUAGCCUGAUAUGAGUUAGCCCAGCUGUAGGAGUGGAGAGAGUUGGACCAGAUGACUUCCAAGAAUUCCCUUCCAGCCUAAAAAUAUUUUAUGAUUCUACAGUUGUUCCUGGCUUAUGUGCCAUCAUUGGCAUGGGUAGGCACUGCUGAGCACAGUAGGCACUGUGAUGCUCACAUGCUGAGCAUCCAGGCAGUAAAUCUAAGCCUUUCAAGAGAGGGCUCUUGGUGAGCAUUGUCUAAUGAAAAUUUAAUCUCUAACUCCACAAAAUUGUAGAUGAUGAUGUAAAAUCUUAUUACAAUAAAAUACUGUAGCAUUCUUCUUUUUCCAA
This is a long non-coding RNA of Haemorhous mexicanus (house finch), 4899 nucleotides long. RefSeq lists it as uncharacterized. Lineage: Eukaryota; Metazoa; Chordata; Aves; Passeriformes; Fringillidae. The transcript is spliced from 2 exons. The record is from RefSeq and is a predicted model, not a curated record.